GGUGGAGCGAUCUGUCUGGUUAAUUCCGAUAACGAACGAGACUCUCCCCUGCUAACUAGUCGGUUGGAUCUUGCUCGGUGAGUCGUGUCCCAGUGGUGCUCGGUGCAUGGGUUUGGGUGUGUGUGCGCGCGUUGGUGGUUUGCUUCGGCGGAUCGCUGCGUGCGCGUGCGUGCCUUGCCUUGCGCAAGAGGCUCUGGAUAGCACACUCCAAGUCCACCGUUUAUGCUAUAACUCUUCUUAGAGGGAUCCACGGCUCUGAAGCCGUCAGAGACUGAGAGCAAUAACAGGUCUGUGAUGCCCUUAGAUGCUCUGGGCCGCACGCGCGCUACAAUGCCGGGCACAGCAGGUUAUCUUCCUGCUCCGAGAGGAGCGGGCAACCCUCUGAAAGCCCUUGAUUUACUCUCUCCGUACCUCGUGUGCGGGAGCGCGGCGUGCUUGGGCCUGGGGCUUGCAAUUAUUCCCCACAAACGAGGAAUGCCUAGUAGCGGUGGGUCACUGAGCCCGCCGUGAUUCAGUCCCUGCCCUUUGUACACACCGCCCGUCGCUACUACCGAUUGGGUGUACCAGUGAGAGCCUUGGACUGGCGGCCGUUGCCACCCCUCGUGGGCGGCAAGCGGAUUCGACGGAAAGAGGUCCGAACUGGUGCACUUAGAGGAAGUAAAAGUCGUAACAAGGUUUCCGUAGGUGAACCUGCGGAAGGAUCAUUA
RNAcentral lists this ribosomal RNA (707 nucleotides) under Grandidierella japonica. RNAcentral describes it as "bacterial SSU rRNA". It matches the Rfam family "Eukaryotic small subunit ribosomal RNA", at positions 1300 to 1831 of the family's 1831-position model. The record is from RNAcentral. Lineage: Eukaryota; Metazoa; Arthropoda; Malacostraca; Amphipoda; Corophiidae.